Molecule: non-coding RNA, 24 nt
Filed under: Mus musculus (house mouse)
Lineage: Eukaryota; Metazoa; Chordata; Mammalia; Rodentia; Muridae
Source: RNAcentral
UGGGAACUUGUGUUGUGCUGUUCU